This 1290-nucleotide long non-coding RNA is filed under the name Homo sapiens (human). RNAcentral's name for it is "long independently transcribed non-coding RNA 628 (LINC00628)". Lineage: Eukaryota; Metazoa; Chordata; Mammalia; Primates; Hominidae. The record is from RNAcentral.
AGCCAACUGGUUGUCUAAGGCUGGGAAGGGGUUAAGAUGCCCCCGGAGCUUGCCGCGAGGGCAGCUGCCUCAGCGGGCACUCCGCCUGGAUGGGAAUAUAAGCACUCUUGGUGUUGCCCAGGCAGAGAGGGCAGUGUGGAGGGAAGUUGCUAGAAAAAGGCAGGGGACAUAAUCCAUACUGGCCUCUUUCCCAGGCACAUCACAGUGGCAGAAUUAUUUAUGAUUCUGACCCAAUGGGGAUCCCUCUACUUGGGGAGACUGCCAACCCACGCCCUCCUGAAUGGCAACGUCCUCCCACAGAGACAGAGGGGAACAAGUAGCAUUUAUGGAGCGGCACAGAGGAAAGAGUGUGGGCUUUGGAGACAGCACAGCAGCACUCACAUCCCGGCCCAGACACUUCCUGUGUGACCUUGAGCCAGUUGAUGAACCUGUCUGGGCCUCUGUUUCCUCAUCUGUUAUCGGCGAAAAUGUUUCGGAGGACACCUAUUGUAUAAUGUUGCUAUGCAGAUUAAAUGCACUAGCAGAGGCAAAGUGCAUAGCUUAGAGGAAGGAAGUACUCGCUAAGUGGUAGCUGGUGUGAUAGGUGGGCCAAGUCCUGGCAGGAGCUGGGCUUGCUGGCUGCCCUGUUUUGCUGAAACAGCAGCAUCACCAUCAGCAGCAACUGUGGAAAUAUAGACCCUUGAUAAAUACAGGUGAAUAAAAUGAAUGAUUAGAAACUGGACCUGCCACUCUGCAGAACCCAGGCACUGCUCCCCAGCAGCUGGUGCCUCAAAGCAGCUGCUAACAUGGCAGGAGACAGUCAGACCAGCAGUGAAUAGCUAUGCUUCGUAAGACUUCAUACACAAGGCAGGCGUGUGGACUGACCAGAAAGGUGGCAGUCACUGUCCAUCAAGAGAAUCCCCACCUGUUUUCCAAUAUGUCAGCCAGGAGGCUCGCACUCCCAAAAGGAAUGUUCUCAGCCAGCUCCCUGACUGUCCCCACCUCUGACAGUGGACUCUCUUGGGUCUCUCAAAAGGCUCCUCCUCCUCAGCCAUGGGGUGAAGGAAUCCUGUUUGCCGGGGAGGCGGGAUGCUGCCCAGGGUGGCUGUUUUGGGAGAGCGAGCAGGAUGAGAUAGUGCCUAUGAGUGAUCUUUGGAGAUGGAGGUGCUAUGGCCACCUGUGGGGACUGCCUGGGUGCCUCCUGGCCACUGUCAACUUCCUUGCUCACACUGAGAUUCUGUGAUUCUCCUCUGAGCAUUUCCAUGGAUAAUUUUUUUUUUUCAGAGACACUAUUAAAGAUUUUAAAAAUUG